AAAUAUCAAGAACUCAAAACGUUUUGAGCAUACUGUAAAUGACGCGAACGCAAACGCAAGAAUUAAAAAAAAACACACUAAGCAAAUCAAUCAUGGCGACAGCGUGUGCUAUGCUUUGGUGAAUGAAAUAGUAAAUUGACAAUAUCGGAAGGAAAUCUUUUCGGCUGAUUCUAACCAUGGGAUCACAUGCGAAAUUUGUUUCCGAUUACUGUAAAACUUGGGACAAAUCCGGAAAGGAGCAAUUUGUGAAACAUGUGACUCAAUUUAUCAAAGAUGACGAAAGAAGUCCACUAUUUACAAAGUCAGGUAAAGUUUCUGGAUUAUCUCAGACAAUAUAUGACUUAUUGCUCAGCGGUCUUCGAGGGAAUCUUAAGAAAGAAGCUGUUCUCUCUGCCCUUAAGGAGAUAUCUGUAUUGCAUGCAGAUAUCCCAUCAAUAAUACUAGAUGUAGUCAGUGUGCUUGAUGCAGAGACCUGCACAGAUGUGCAAAGUGAAGAGCGCACUAAUUUCUGCCACAUUAUUAGGGAAUUAGAGCCAUUCAUAUCAGAUAAACUCCUAAAAGAGAGGUUGGAAAUUGACACCCUACAAGAUGCUGGCACUCUGAAAAAUAAACUCUUUUAUACUAAGUUUAUAAAAAUCAAGACUAAGUUGUAUUAUAAACAACGUAAGUUUAAUUUAUUUAGAGAAGAAAGUGAAGGAUAUGCUAAGUUAAUUGUUGAAUUAAAUCAGGAAAUAAUUGAGAAGACAGAAUGGAAGAAUUUAUUAGAAAUCAUUCAGUCACUAAUAGGUUGUUUCAACUUGGACCCCAACAGGGCACUAGAUAUAAUUUUAGAAUCUUUUGAGUCAAGAACACAUUCAGAUCAAUUAUUUAUACCACUAAUAAAGAACUACAUGGGUGAUCCCCAAGUCAUUUCUGAGGUUUUGGGCUUCAAGCUUGGAAACAUGGAAGUACUUGAAAAUUAUAAAGAACCACCACCCCUGAUGACUGUAAUAGCUUUGCUUUUGCAACAUCAGGUCAUAUCUCUUGAUGACAUAUAUCCAUGGUUACGUCCUGAUGACUCCAUAAUGGCCAAAGAAGCAGAAAAAGAAUUGAAAACUGUACAGGACUACAUUCGUAAACUAAGCAUUGUGUCAACUAAGGGACCUCAACCCAAUGGGCCAACUGAAUAUGUUGAAGCCGCAGCUGAUCCUCAGGAAUAUUGGGGUAAUCAGAAGUUGGUGCUAUGUGAAGCUUUGCUAAAGGUGACUGCUUGGCGUGAAUUCGCGGCCCUAUCCGCUCGCUUGCCGACCAACAUCAUGCCUCAGCGGCCUGCCGUGGCCUUAUGUAACAUGCUUCACGCUCUUGUUGAGCCUAUAUACAGAUCUAAUUGUCGAGUUGCUCCAAAAAUAAUAGGCAAACCUAUCCCACCUCUAAAGUCAAGUCUGGCACCUCCAGCUUGCAAGACAUUUGAAGACAUGAAAGAGACUGUCAUUCCAGCUUUGAUCCUGCUAGGGCCGUCUCUUCAUUAUGAUCCUAUUUUAAUGUACAAAAUAAUUCGUAUCCUAAGAACUGCGCGGUCUAUGAAAGAGGAUCCAUUACAUCAUGAAGCGCUUACAGUUUUGGAUGCCGCCAUAUUGCCAGCUUUGACUUUGAUGGAUGGUAACUGUUGUAUGGCUGAAGAAGUCUAUACCUUGUUGAAGUUAUACCCGUAUCAGUGCAGGUAUUGCCUAUACUCUCGCUGGAAAAACGAAGCUGCCGAAAGAAUACCCUCUCUGAUGCGUGUGCGGGGUAACUCCUUGCAGAGAAUUAAGCACAUAAUGAAACGUGUUUCCAAAGAAAAUAUAAAACCUCAGGGUCGUCUGAUUGGAAAACUGUCGCAUGCUGCUCCUACUUUAAUUUUUGACUAUAUGCUGCUACAGAUCCAAACAUACGACAACCUGAUCGGUCCGGUGGUGGAGUCGCUGAAGUACCUGACGUCGCUGUCGCUGGACGUGCUGGGCUACUGCGUGCUGGAGGCGCUGUGCGGCGGGCGCGCGGGCGGCGGCGCGGCGCACCCCGCGUGGCUGCAGGCGCUCGCCGCCUUCGCCGGCGCCGCCUUCAAGAAGCACAACAUCGAGCUCACGGCCUUGCUGCAGUUCGUUGCUAACAGGCUUAAGGCGCAGCAGAGUCAAGACCUGCUGAUCCUCAAAGAAAUUGUACAGAAGAUGGCCGGUAUAGAGGCCGCUGAAGAAAUGACACCUGAACAGUUAGAGGCAAUGGCUGGAGGCGAACUCUUGAAAGGGGAGGCUGGAUACUUUUCUCAAGUGAGGAACACGAAACGAUCGUCAGCCAGAUUAAAAGAAGCUAUCGUCGGAAAUAAUUUGGACAUUUCGUUGUGUAUACUAGCUGCACAACAGCGUCAUUGUUGUGUUUGGAAAGAAUAUGACGAAGACCUUUCCUCAAGUGGUGAGCCACCAGGGUCACAGCUAAAAGUUGUCGGCAGAUUAGCCGAUCAAUGUCAAGAUGCUUUAGUACAACUUGGUACCUUCUUGGCAUCAUCUCAUGCCCCUGACGAAUAUGCCGCGAGAUUACCGCCUUUGCAGGAAUUACUUCGAGAUUAUCAUGUGGAUGCAGAUGUAGCAUUUUUCCUGCACCGUCCUGUAUUGGCUCAGAAAAUUGCCGCCAGAGUUGAAGCUCUACGAAAACAAUCAGAUAGCAAGACAGAGUCUUUAGAGAAAAGUAUUGAAAGAUACACUCAGGCUGCACAGGAGGCAUUAGAACCUAUUGUUCUGUCCGUAACUCCUAUAUUACCCAAUAAGGUUUGGGAGGAUAUUUCUCCUGAGUUUUAUGUAACUUUUUGGUCGCUGUCAAUGUAUGACCUUCGGGUUCCGGAGGAAAGUUACGAUAGAGAAAUCGGUCGCCUCAAAAUUGCGGCGGCCAACGCAACAAAGGACUCCUCGCAAGGCACAAAAGGGAAGAAGGAACAGGAGCGAUUCAACGCGCUUAUUGACAAACUCCAGGAGGAGCGGCGGCGGCAGCAGGAGCACGUGCGGCGCGUGGUGGCGCGGCUGGCGCGGGAGUGCGGCGGCUGGUUCCCCGCGCGCGCCGCCAAGUCCGCCAAGAACGAGACCGUCACGCGCCUCAUGCAGCUGUGCCUGUUCCCGCGCUGCGUCUUCACGGCCGCCGACGCGCUCUACUGCGCCGAGUUCGUGCACACCGUGCACUCGCUGCGGACGCCCAACUUCUCCACGCUCCUGUGCUACGAUAGACUAUUUUGCGACAUCACAUACUCGGUGAUGUCAUGCACGGAAGGGGAGGCGGCACGGUACGGCACGUUCCUGUGCAAGGUGCUAGGCACGGCGAUGCGCUGGCACGGCGACAAGGAGGCGUUCCACCGCGAGUGUGCACACUACCCCGGCUUCGUCACCAAGUACCGCGUCUCCAACCAGUUCACUGAGGCGAAUGAUCAUGUUGGAUACGAGAAUUAUAGACACGUGUGCCACAAGUGGCAUUACAAGAUCACUAAAGCCAUGGUUGUAUGUCUGGACUCGGGUGAUUACGUGCAGAUACGAAACGCACUCAUCGUGCUCAUAAGAGUCUUACCGCAUUUCCCCGUGCUGGCCAAACUGGCUCAAAUCAUCGAACGAAAAAUCGACAAAGUUAAAGAAGAGGAGAAGACGCAGCGGCAAGAUCUUUAUGUGCUUGCAACGGGUUACAGUGGCCAGUUGCGCCAAAAAGGACCUAAUAUGAUGCGGGAAAGUGAUUUUCAUCAGUGCGUGGUGCUGCAGGUGGGCGACAAGCACAAGCUGCCGGGCGCCGCGGCGCCGCCCGCCGCCGCCAAGGACGAGCCCGUCGCCGCCAAGCCCGACCAGGACACUGCCGCCUCUCCGCCGCAGCCACUCGAUGCUGAAAAAAAAGAGUCUAGGUCCAGUGACAGACGUCGAGAAGACCCUGAGCGGGAAAAGGAGUCAAAACGGGAGUCACGAUCAUCUCUUAAGGAAAGGGGCAAAGAAGAAAUCAGAAGCAAAGAUAGAUCUCCCCGGGAACGCUCUCAUAGGGAGGAACGUUAUCUGGAAACAAUAUCACCGCCACAUGAUCAUCGCAGUGCUCCUGAUGAUAUAGAACGAGAUGUGAAACGUCGUAAAGUAGAGAACAGCGGCAAUGGCAAGGUGAGUAUUGUUGUAAUAAACCGACCUUGCAUCGCGCUCGCACCGGACUGAGGAUUGGGCUGGACCGACCACGAUGUGCCGCACGAUCUACUAAAAUCAAAAAUAAAAUCAGUGUUCAUCAAGAUCAUCGGGACUAUGUGAAAUCCAGUGCAAUAUAGACUAUAGACUUUUAAAGUGCCUAUAAAAUAAUAAUAAUACAUAAAAAUCAAUAAAACUAAACAAAUAAAAAUAUAACCUGUGAAAAAUUUACUUCGAAUAUAGUCAUCUAAAAUUUGAAUCGCUGCAUGAAUAAGAAGAGGAUUUUAGCGUCGUGUGAACUAUAGAAGACUGAAUAUUUUUUGCAACUAAACAAGGAGUCUGCAAUAUAAUAGAAGCAAUACUUAUCACUUAUGGAAUGCAAAUUGCUAAGUUAACGGAUUUACAAUCAAAGUAAUAUAGUAACGACCUUACCUUCGUCUAAGAAACUGGCGAUCCUGCCAAGAAGAGGACCAUUAAUAUCUAUGAAAAUUACGCGAGGAACAAAGGAGGGGAGUGCAAGAUCCAAAUCUUAUAAUUCAUCAAGUGGAAGAUAAAAUUAUAAUAAUAAAAAUCUCAGUAAAAGUUCAAGAUUUAGUGCUCUAAAAUACAAAUUAACAUGCAAGAUACAAAUUAAAACCGAAGGAAAAAACAUCGUGUGUAUCGUAAGUCCACUCAGCCCAGUCCGAUGAAAUACGGUAAGGAAUUAUGUUCUAGAAUUUCAGUCUAAAGGUCCUGUGAAUAAAGAAUGUAAUUUGAAACUGAUAAAAUUCUAUAAAGAAUGUUAAACAAAAAUAUCUCAAAACAAGGAAACUCUUGACGAUAUGCUGGUAGUUACCAAACAAGAAAUUUGAACAUGGAAGGAACAAGUAAAGAAAUCAUCGUAAACACAAAAAAAUUUAAGGACUGUACUUCACCUUCCCAAGUACAAGUUGAAACCAAGAAAACAGUUCAAUGGAUAACAUCUAAUGAAUGGAUCAUGAUUACGCAGAACAAUGAAGAAUCUCACCAAUUGAAAGAUUUGAAGCAAAGAACUCUUAGUAGUUAUAAACUCCUGUUGCUGCCAAACUGGACAUAAAUAAAUAAAACGGAACGUGUUGAAAAGGAUUAAGAUCACGCUGGAGUUGCAGUGAAAGAGAGUGGAAGAUUUCUUUAUUCAUAGUCCCUUUUGACUGACAAUAUUAUUUUAGAAAUAACUAAUUAUAAUAAAGCUUUGUAAAGUAAAUCGAAGUGCAGAUUGUAUUUUAGUACUCAUUUUUGUCUACUGUGUCAAAAGUUAAUAUUAAUUUUCUGCAAAAGCAGGGUAGCAAAGAGAUAGAAGAACGUUCUCCAGAGAAGGAAAAACGAAAGGCCAAAUUAAGGGGUGAUGAACGCAAAGAACGUAAGAUGAAUCGCAAAAGGGAUAGAGCAGAGGAAUCCGUGAUUUUGGAGCAAAAAAGGCGGCGUGAUGAACAGAAAGCAGUCAUCAAAAUGGGAAGCCAUCAAAAUGGUUCUCAAGAAGAUCAUCACUAUGAGAAAUACCACAAAAGGGAGAAAUCACCCUUCCGAGAUCGUUCACACGAAGAACCAAGAGAUAAUAAACAUAGACGAUCGAAUGAAUCAAAAAUAAGAAGAUAAAUACCGACGCAAACAAAAGGAUUGAAGAUGAGAAUAAAAUUGUGGUACGAUUUCAUUAAGAAUAAAAUAUUAAACAAC
Helicoverpa zea (corn earworm) is the source of this 5837-nucleotide RNA transcript. It is a transcript of the gene named THO complex subunit 2, with no coding region annotated. The transcript has 31 exons. Lineage: Eukaryota; Metazoa; Arthropoda; Insecta; Lepidoptera; Noctuidae. The record is from RefSeq and is a predicted model, not a curated record.